GGGGCUGGGACUCAGUGGCAGAGUCUCUGCUUUCCAUGCAGCAGGCCCCAGGUUCAAUCCUUGGCAUCUCCA
This 72-nucleotide transfer RNA is filed under the name Sphaerodactylus townsendi. RNAcentral's name for it is "tRNA-Gly". It matches the Rfam family "tRNA". Rfam says of the family: Transfer RNA (tRNA) molecules are approximately 80 nucleotides in length. Lineage: Eukaryota; Metazoa; Chordata; Lepidosauria; Squamata; Sphaerodactylidae. The record is from RNAcentral.